AUUGAACGCUGGCGGCAGGCCUAACACAUGCAAGUCGAGCGGAUGAAGGGAGCUUGCUCCUGGAUUCAGCGGCGGACGGGUGAGUAAUGCCUAGGAAUCUGCCUGGUAGUGGGGGAUAACGUCCGGAAACGGGCGCUAAUACCGCAUACGUCCUGAGGGAGAAAGUGGGGGAGCUUCGGACCUCACGCUAUCAGAUGAGCCUAGGUCGGAUUAGCUAGUUGGUGGGGUAAAGGCCUACCAAGGCGACGAUCCGUAACUGGUCUGAGAGGAUGAUCAGUCACACUGGAACUGGGACACGGACCAGACUCCUAAGGGAGGCAGCAGUGGGGAAUAUUGGACAAUGGGCGAAAGCCUGAUCCAGCCAUGCCGCGUGUGUGAAGAAGGUCUUCGGAUUGGAAAGCACUUUAAGUUGGGAGGAAGGGCAGUAAGUUAAUACCUUGCUGUUUUGACGGUACCAACAGAAUAAGCACCGGCUAACUUCGUG
RNAcentral lists this ribosomal RNA (484 nucleotides) under uncultured bacterium. Its description in RNAcentral is "partial 16S ribosomal RNA". It matches the Rfam family "Bacterial small subunit ribosomal RNA", at positions 30 to 507 of the family's 1533-position model. The record is from RNAcentral.